RNAcentral lists this ribosomal RNA (618 nucleotides) under Deontolaimus trituberculatus. Its description in RNAcentral is "SSU rRNA". It matches the Rfam family "Eukaryotic small subunit ribosomal RNA", at positions 117 to 723 of the family's 1831-position model. Lineage: Eukaryota; Metazoa; Nematoda; Chromadorea; Plectida; Leptolaimidae. The record is from RNAcentral.
UCACUUGAUCUUGAAAAUCCUACUUGGAUAACUGUGGUAAUUCUAGAGCUAAUACAUGCAACAAAGCUCAGGUAGCCCUUCGGGGUGACGAGCGCAAUUAUUAGAACAAAACCAAUCGGGCUUCGGUCCGUUCGGUUUGGUGGAUCUGAAUAACUAUAGCUGAUCGCACAGUCUUUGUACUGGCGACUCAUCUUUCAAGUGUCUGUCCUAUCAGCUGUCGAUGGUAUUCUAUACGAUUACCAUGGCUGUAACGGGUAACGGAGAAUUAGGGUUCGACUCCGGAGAGGGAGCCUGAGAAACGGCUACCACAUCCAAGGAAGGCAGCAGGCGCGCAAAUUACCCACUCUCGGCAUGAGGAGGUAGUGACGAAAAAUAACGAGGCGGUUCUCUAAGAGGCCCGCUAUCGGAAUGGGUACAAUUUAAACCCUUUAACGAGGACCUAUGAGAGGGCAAGUCUGGUGCCAGCAGCCGCGGUAAUUCCAGCUCUCAAGGUGUAUAUCGCCAUUGCUGCGGUUAAAAAGCUCGUAGUUGGAUCUACGGUUUUCGGAUCCGGUCCACCCAAUGGGUGCGAACUGGUUUCCAAGCCUCUAGUCGCUGGUCUAUCCUUGAUGCUCUUAA